UGGGUUUUAUGGUUGGGAAGAGUUCUGCUAAAUCAGUUUGAAGUUGCACUUGUACAUGUUGUGGCUUGGAAUGCAGCCGUUGUAUCAAGACGUUAAAAUCUCUGAUUUAGCGUUGUAAACAGAGCGAGGACAAUGUUUAUAUAAUUAUUCAGAUAUUGUAAUUACUCAAUUCUUUUCAAUGAUCUAUUGUGUUGGUAGCCGUUGCCGUCGCGUUGCCGUCCUAAAAUCG
Molecule: non-coding RNA, 229 nt
Organism: Paramuricea clavata
Lineage: Eukaryota; Metazoa; Cnidaria; Anthozoa; Malacalcyonacea; Plexauridae
Source: the annotation of a GenBank genome assembly